AGAGACAGUGGCUCCAGCUCCGGCUCCAGCUCCAGCUCGAGCACCAUCUCCUGUUCCCGUUUUCCGUGCAUCUGAAACCGAAACUCUGGCAGAAGCGCUGCUCUGAUCUGAGGCCCAAAAACUGGAGGCCGGGAGCACGCGUAAGCAGAUACUCUGAUACAGAUACAGAUGGUGCUCGGGCUGCGCCCCCCCCCCCCCCCCUUUCGGAACACACUCACACACAGAAGGGAGGAUGGGGGAAAGGCGAUGCGUGGGUGGUCCUGGGUCCUGGGGAAACGGUGGAUGUACUGGCAUCCAGCCGGGGUGGUUCUCGCUGCUGCCUUGCUCUUUAAAGACCUUUAAAGUUUAAGCCGAAUGUCAGCCAUAAAAAGAAUCAAAAAUAAAACUUGGCAACAAAAGUUUAGCAAGUUGGAUAAGCCCAAAUAAAAAAUAUUAAAUUGAACUCAUCUUAGGGCGGGAGAGAAGACAACGACUCCUUGGAAUAGCAUUUUCGAAAUUUAU
Non-coding RNA from Drosophila melanogaster (fruit fly), 501 nucleotides. The record is from Ensembl. Lineage: Eukaryota; Metazoa; Arthropoda; Insecta; Diptera; Drosophilidae.